CUCCAUCGAUAUAUGCAUUGCUUUAACAAAUCAGGAUUAGAAAAAGAACAUUAUUAUAUGAUGUAAGCACAUUGACUCGCCCGUAAAGGUUUCAUCGAGAAGUACUCGGCCAUUCAUAUUGCCCGAGAGAAGAAGCAGCAGCCACCAUUUUCGUGUGAUCAUCACACUAUAAGAGGUCUAGUGUCUCUACAUCAGGUUCAAGCAGCCCUGUGAUACCAAACACACUGCAAGUCCAAGCAGACCUGGAAGCGAUCAAAUCUUCAUUGCUCAAAGAAAGUGCUACUGCUUCUGCACAACCAUAUGAUCUUUCAGUGUUAGCUGAUACCGAUUUGUCAAACUACCCUGCGGAGGUUCCUGCAGUUGAUGACUCCGACAAACCAUAAUGUUAAUUGAUUUUAGUAGGUAGCGGAAGCGAAGCUACGAGGUCUUGAACUGCACUCCACCGGCUGUUCUUUGCUGCUGUGUUUGCAAAACUGGGAAGCCUACAGUUUCCCGUUGCUUCAGUGAAAGGUAAAUACUACUAUACCUUCAAUGAUUUUGCUUCUCGCUUGAAUGCUAGUCAGGAUUGUGAGCAUGUUUGUACAUUUUCUUUUAGUGUCAUUUAAUGGAAUACCUGCAAUGAUUUAUUUGUUGGUUGAAUGCUGGUGAGGAUUGUGAAUGCUGACAUGUGUGAUCGUUUUCUACCAUUGUCACUUGUUGUCAAGACUAAAUGAUGGUGCCUGUCGAUCGAGUUACCCCAUUCUUGCUGCUUCAUGUGACUGUUUUCCUAGCAUUACUAAUAGCCAGGAUCGAAAUAGCGUGUAUAUUUCUUGCCAAGAGAGCAUUUACUCGAACAUACAUGUGAUCUAACACCUCGAGUUGUAACACCUAAUGUCCGGUGUGGAGCAGUAAUAAACAUUUUUGUCUGUAUGUAUAUGUUCAUGUCUUUUAUUUUUAAUAUAAUACUUGUAUAUGUCCGUAUGUUUUAUUUUUAUUCAUAUUUUGGGCUACAUUAGGCUUAAUAGUCUCCAUUUAGUUGACUUUUGUGGUCAUUUCAGGUUUGUAAACAUAAGUUAUGUAUAGUCAUUACGUAGAGGCAAAAUUGUCCAGAAAUAAGUCAUCCAAAUAAUUAUUUUAAGGGUUUUCUAGCUCUACAGAGUGGUACGGAAUGUCAGCUAGUAUAACACCUAGGAGCUACCCAGGUGGCACAUGGCUAGAUGGGUAUUUGGAGUGGUGUCUAGGGCUGGAUUACCACAUUAUUCUAUGGUAGUGUCAUGUAGUCAUUUGCAGGGACUUUCGACUAUAGUGAACCACCUCAGACUAUUUCUCAUGUAAUCAUUCAGACCCUUCAAAGUCUAUGUUUAUAAUUUGCAUUACCUAUCAAGUAUUUGUUGAAAUUGCUACUUAUGGAUUCUAAGUUAAACGCUUUUUCUAACCCGUCUUUUUUGCAUAUCACAAGAGGUUUCGGGAAGGUUGACCCUUUAGGGAUGGAUACGCAAAAGUGCCGCACAACUUAGGGAUAGCUACCUAAGUCCAUGACAAAUUAUAUUAUAGUGGAAUAGGCACACUUAAAAAUACUUGGUAUAAAAAUGUGAGAGACCUAGCUAGGUGGCGUUGAGGGCAGCCAACACACAUAACCAUUUGCGAGAAACGGGUGUUGAGAUGUAGGGAAAGGAGUUGCUUAGAAGAGCAAGUAUCUGAAAUUGACAUUCAAAGGAAUAGCUAACCCUUUGCCCGAGAGGCUUCACGAGGACAAUCGAGCUGGAAAGAACAUAACAUACAAAAGUUGGGAUGGUUGAAUUCGAGCUACGACUCGACAUGGUAACCAAACUUAAUGGUACUUAAGGUAAGUGAGGUGUUUAGCAAAGGAUGAGAUCGUGAAAGGUGAGGUGAGUUGCUCAACGAUCGAAAGAGUUAUGCAAAACUCACAGAGGUGAGGGGAAUUGUUAAUUCAAAAAAUUCGGUAUCCAUGCAAAGGCUUGUAUGUACACAAUGGGCUGUCUAUAACCAUCCCAAGGCAAUUAAAACUUUGACGCUACGGAACAUUAAAACUUUUCCUUCAACAUGGGGAGGAUACAUCUAGAGAAAGCUAAAAUGUGUAGCAAGUUCAAUAUAUUACUAGGCCUUGAGGAGAAUAACAGGGGUUGCAUUGACGAAGAGUCAUAAUCUAGUAAGUUUGUUUAUAGGGAUAGAAUAGUGCAUAGUUUGUUUAGCAUGGCUGAGUAGUUUAAGAGGAUAGUGGUCUCCAAAACUUUUGGAGGGAAAGAUGCGAAAAAUUACUCCAAUAAGAGAGAUAUCCAAGAGGGAUAAGUCUCGAUUUGUCAGAUGGAGAAUCAUAUAUAACAAACUAUACAGAGGAGGGGUACCUCAAGACAAUAACUCUACAAAGCUCAACAAACUGAGUGAACGACGAGGAGUCAUCACAUGAUCUCACACGUAAUGUGUUAAGGAACGCAUUGCACGAUCAAGUGGGGGAGUGAUCCAAGAUAACAACAAACGAAGACACUUAGAAUCGAUAUGAAAAUCAGACUCAACAGUGUGUUGACCCGUGGAAUAAUGGGUGUGAAGGUCAUACUCAACUCAAUAUAAAAUGAGGAGUAGAGAUGAAGGGCAUAAAGUUUAUCCAAGAAAGAUUCAAAAUGCAAUAGGGAUUCACGGGAAAGAGACAUAGUGCAAUGGACCAUGAUAGAAUAAUUUGAGACAAUGCAACAUAUGAAAAUUUUUUUUACCUUCUUAACUCAUAAAGAGAAUGAACAAAAUAGAAUAUCCCGUAUCUCUUAAUUAUCUAACAAAAAGUUCAAAAAUAAUAUGAAAAAGGUACAAAUGGCAAGCCUGAAGUAAGAGUUCGGCGACCAUCAGAACGCCGGCAACGCCGUCAUUCCCACUUGGUUUGAAUCGUACCCGUGUGCUUGAAGUCAACUAUCAAGGCCGAGCUUCCAUCCAUCCUCCUCACCACAAACCUCUCCACCAACACGUAGCACCCAAAUUUCUUCCACGGGCUCACCCCUCCGUACUCCUCCGACCUCUCCACCUUCACUUCACCGCCGACCCACCCUCCCCUCCCCUGCUCCCACCUCAUUCUCUCCCAUACCGGGGAGCUCAGCCCCACCCUCUCUCCCUCCAAAUCAAGCGGCUUGUACCACACCACGCCGUCCUGUCCACCUGCGCCGUCUCGCGUCGCCUCCACGCCACCCAACACCGCGCCCUCCGCCCCAACAGUAGCCUUCACUUCCACGGUCCUCCGAUCGCCAUACAAGUUCUCGCACGCGAACACCUGUUCCCAGCGCUGCUCGAGGGUGAUAUCGUAGAAAGCCGAGCGCUCCAUUUGACGCCGCAGGCUAUCUCCUUCCUUCACGAACACGCAGGGGGCGUACCACCUCCCCACGACCAAACCGGCACCACCUGCGCCAGAUAUCGGCAACUCCAACGCGGGCGUGCGGGCACGAAGGGCUUUGUCAAGCCCCCAGGCGUCGGUCAAGUCGAAGUCCGUGGGCUUCGAAGCAUAAAGCUCCCAGUACUUACUCCUCAGUGGCCAUGGAGCGAACCCAUCCGGAGCUACGGACUGCGCGGUGAACCUGCCUCUCUUGCAGACGAUCUCCACCUGCUGGUAGAUGUCCCUGUGAUCGAACUCUCUCGGCUUGACAUCGUUGACGCUCCGGCAGAAGCAGCAUGUGGUCAUGUCUUCCUCCAGGGAGCAUGUAUACGCUUUCCUGCACAUACAGUCGAAAUCCACCCGACAUUGUUGUGAGAAAACUACGGGAGGGAGGGAAGGAGAUCGAGAGAGGUGCGCCACCCUUUCUUUUUGCCCUUUGCGACGAUGACGUAGUAGUGAUUGGAGGAGAGCGAUUUGUCGAGGACGGGGAUGAACAGGGCCGGCAACUGCCAUGUGUGAGUGCCCUCCGUGUAGGUGAUGGUGAGGAUCCUGUUCUGGGGGAAGGGGAGCUCUCGAACCCUCGUGUCUUCACAGAGCCCCCAGCAGCAUGAGGGGUUUGGUUCAGCUCCCUCGUCCUGGAGAAGCAGAUAGCCUGAGUUGGGCCCUGCCGGUGGUGGUGGUUGAAUGGCGGCAGCACCAGCAGAGUUCUUGAAGACGGAGAGCGGCCUCGUCGUGUACAUCUCCUCGGCCCUGGUUGUUCCCGGAGAUGAGGUUUGUGGAGGUGAAGAUGGCUCUGGUACUGCUACUAAUACACCAAGAUCUCGCGUUUUUUCUCCGAUAUUUCACAGCAGAUCUUUCAAAUCUUUCGUCUGUUGUGGAAAUAUCUGGCUGUGGCUUGUUGGUCAAGAUGUCGUCCAUUGAUGAAAUCUUCUAAGAAGCUGACCUUUGGUAGCUGAUAACAAUGCCGUGGCGCUGUCAGGAAGCGACAGAGAUCUGUCGGCAUCAUAUUUAAUGCUUCUUUUUCUGAAAAUAUUGACAUCUAACCUUACAAUUUGAGUCAUCGUAGCAUAAGAUGAUUGCUUCUCCUUUUCAUCUUCGUAUCAGAGAGGUUCUAUCUGCAUCUUCGUGGAGAUGGUUCCCAAACAAUCAACCGCAAGACAGCUUCGAAGAAAGAAAUCGGUUCACCAAUCAUUAAAGCAACAUGGAGAGCUUCCUAACAACUGCUAAAAGAAGAAAUAGUAAAAGGUCAGCUUCUUUUGCUUGCGAGGUCAUCGUUAUACGGUCCGAGAGAGAGGGAGAGACACAGAGAGAGAAGCCUAGACAAAACCAAAGAGAUGAUGAUAAGGUUCGAAAAGUCCGCGUACUUGAUAUGAGGUGAUGGCAGUCACUGGCAGCGCCAUGCGUUCAACAACAUACCGGAGGAUGCGCUCAUCUCUCUCCGUGUGAUCGUAGCGUUGACCAGCUUCCCUCCGAGUUGCGUCUGAGAAGCUGCGGAGAUCACAGAACCUGCACCAAACUAACGGUAGAAGAUAAGCCACCACAUUAAAGACCUGCUUGUUUGCAGUUCCAGCAGUCUCUCAUCUUCACAUGGAGCUCAUAGUGCCGGAGUCGCGAUCGACGAGUCUUAGCAUCCUAAAAUCUGAAACAUGACAGAUGAAAUAAUAUUCAACAAUGUUCAAUGUAAAGCAGUAUCGAACCUCCCUUGGAUAUACCGUAAAAUGAUGAAAUAAUAUUCAACAAUGUUCAAUGUAAAGAAUUGUUGCUGCAACGAAAAAUCCAACAACUAAUUUGUCAAAGAGGUUACCACAAGAAAGUAAAGAAAGCUCAUGAAAUUGAUGAGGCAGAUAAUACAAAACUCUUAUUUCCUCAUAUUUCUUGAGGAUGCCAGCUAUAUAUUUUGAGCAACUAAAAUCCUCAUCUAAAAGAAUUAUUUUUGAAGUAAUAAGAACUAAUUUAUUGACAUACUUUUCUAUUUUGGAAAAGAAAUACAAACCCUUCCUGCAUCAUUGGUCCAGCCACACAGGAAAAACAUCAAAAAGAAAAACACAACACCUCUGCUAGCACAACCUUACUAUAAUCUCCAAAAGAACACUCAUCCAUUUGUUAAUAAAGUAAAGGAAUCCUUAUACUUUCACUCAAAUGUCCCAAAUAACAAUGAACAAAUAAUAGAUUUCACAGAUAUAACAACAUGAAAACAAAUAAAGAGAAGUUGAAAUUGUUUGUAUGUAGGGAUUACUCUUUCUUUUUUUAUUCUUUAUUUGAUUAUAAAAUCUAAAACAAUGAUCGAUGCCUUUUUUUUUUUUUUUUUUCUUUCCACAAGUUACUGCUCUAAAGUUCUGAAGCUAGACUCUUUUUUUUAAGAAUACAACCUUUUGAUAUUUAGAAACUUAAAGAUGCAAUAAUAAGGAAUCCUAGACACUGGAUCACCUCAAAAGUUCUGAAGUUGUUAAGCUAAAUCUUUUCUAUAAAAAAGCAACCUUUUGAGAUUUAACUGAAAGAUACAAUAAUGAGGAUUCCUACAAUGAAGACAGUGCAUCACCUACAAAAUAUUAUUAUUAUUAUUAUUGUGAUAAACUGUCAAGAUCUUUAUCUGAAAAAAGAAGAAGAUAAUCUUAUAAAAUUAACACUACGACCCAUUAUAUAGAUUAAAUAAAAAAAAGAAAGGAUUAACACAAUUGUAUGCGCAACUCAAAAUUUGACAUGAUUUACAUGUAAAAAGUAACAUUAUAAUAAAUUGUGAUGUGGUGUACUGGACAGUCUUUACAUGUAUUAGCAGAACAAGCAUAGGAAGUCUUUAUCUACAAAAAUAGAAAAGUAGUUAGAUAUGUUCUCCUUUGUUCCCCCGUGCGAAAACAAGUUCAGUCAUUCUCAAGCAGCCAAAAUGUUUUUUUGUCUCUCAUAGAUUAUAUUAUCCUUCACACUCUCAAUUAAAGUGGUUCAGGGACAGUUGUUCAGAAACACGUCCACAACACAACCUUUUAAUUCUCUUAAUUUAGAGGUAUAUUGACUAAUCAUUUAUCUCGAAAUUGAAGAUUAUUUUGUGUGUAAAAAGUCAUUAAUUCACGAAGCAUUCAGUCGAACACUUUGAGCUCAUAUCGGGAGACAUGUACUUUCUGCUGAUCCGAAAGUCACCUAUCACAUAUUAGAACCCUACAGUUCCAGUAAUGCUACAACAUAAGUGUUGAUUUCACAUGGAUUUGAUCGCGGGAAAGAACAAGAACGCACCACCAAGAUUCAAGCCAUUCGAAAUCAAGAAAGCUAAAAAGGCAAGAACACCACACCACCACCUCUUCUGUGCGACAUAAGAUGCACGAACACACAAUCUUGAGAAAGGCAAGGAACAUGGGGAGGCGAAGAAAGGGACGGACUUGCCUGGUUCUUCUCGGUGAGACCGGACACGAUCCACCGCCGUCGUGUCCGCAUCGGCCCCUCCACCCUGGAUCGAGGCACAGGAGCAGACCGAUCUGACCGCGAUCGCGGAUAAGCCGCACGUCACAUCAGUUUAUGGCACCCUAAUCCCUGGAGAGUACCCACGCCUCGGAGCCCACAAAGCCCUCCCAUUCUCCCACAUCCAAAUGUGGCUUGGAGCCACCGUCACCCUCCCUCAUCGACGCUCCAUCGUCCCAAAUUACUUUGGUCAUUCUCCUCGAUGCCAGCGCAUUCUUGGAAGACGAUAGCUUUAAGCAUUGAGCUGCUCUGCACAUGCAUCUCACGUGAUACGUUUUCUUCUAUUUGGAACAAGAUGCUAGUGGACUCAUGUUCUCGGUUUGAUUUGGUUCAUUUCGAUUGGACCCGGUUCAGAUCGACCGGUUGGAUCCAAUCUGACGGCUAUGAUUCUUUCAGAUUCUACUAAUGUAGUGAUGAGAAAUCUUUCUUUAUCCAUUAUUUUCAUUGUAUUACUCCACCAAAUACAAUUUUGACCAGUCAAUGCUUAAACAGACCAAUCAUCUCCAUCGAUAUAUGCAUUGCUUUAGGAAAUCAGGAUUAGAAAAAGAGCAUUAUUAUAUAAUGUAAGCACAUUGACUCGCCUGUAAAGGUUUCAUCGAGAAGUACUCGGCCAUUCAUAUUGCCCGAGAGAAGAAGCAGCAGCCACCAUUUUCGUGUGAUCAUCACACUAUAAGAGGUCAAAGAUAGUACAGAUCCGUAAACUUAUGAGCCGUAGAAGGAGCAGUAGCCAUACACCGACUUCCCAUCUCCAUCUCGUCUUCUUCAUCAGUGUGAGGAGGACGAGUAUGGCGCCCUCAUUUGAGACUUUCCAUGAGUGGCAGCACAGGAUGAGUGAGAGAGUGUAUGUGUACGGGAAGAGCCUAUAGGACUAGGCGUACUUACGCCGGCAAAUGAGCAUGGUGAUGCAGAUUCUCAUGAUGUACAGCUUCCCCUUCUGUUGCCUCACCAUCCUUCUCCACUUCUGCAGCCUCUCCAUCCUCCGCCAGUUCAUGCUGAACUCUCCGAGGAAGACAAUAAACAGAAGCAGCAGCAUGAUGGCGAUAUAUAUAGCCGAAAAGAAAGGAGAGAGACAGAGAGAGGAACCUUUCCCCAUCUCUUGUCUAUGAUCUGUUCCUUGCACUCGGCUGUGGCUCAGGUUGGUCAUCAUCUACAGAUUCUACUCCAAGUCGCUGUCCGAGGAUUGGUGUAUGCCAAGGGCGUGCAAGACGAUUUUGGACCGGAGCAUCGAGGGACCCUCUGCCUGCCAGCUUCAUCCCGUGUUCACGUGCUACCUUUCUCGCAUCUUCUUCGGUCCUUUUCGCUGCCGCAUGAAGCCAAACCGAUCGUUGCCGUCACCGAGGAACAUGAAUGAGUUUUGAAUUCUGAGCUCCAGAGAGACAAAGAGAGAAGGAAGUCGGGUAUGCAGCGAACGAGGUUGAAGAAGCAUUGGAAUAUGAUGCCUUCUGGCGCAAGUAACGCAUGCAUGUUUGUCUAUGUUGGUCAUAUAUAUCCAGAGAAGGGUUGCGAUGAGAGUUACUAAGCUUCACGUAAUUGUCAUUUGUGCCUAUCAAUCAAAGCAAUUUGUAGUACUUCAAGAAAAUAUCAAGAACUGCACCUGUGACCACUGA
This 8406-nucleotide long non-coding RNA is filed under the name Musa acuminata (dwarf banana). RNAcentral's name for it is "long non-coding RNA (MACU_LNC002937)". Lineage: Eukaryota; Viridiplantae; Streptophyta; Magnoliopsida; Zingiberales; Musaceae. The record is from RNAcentral.